Molecule: ribosomal RNA, 376 nt
Filed under: uncultured bacterium
Lineage: Bacteria
Description: bacterial SSU rRNA
Rfam family: Bacterial small subunit ribosomal RNA
Source: RNAcentral
GACGAACCGUCCAAACGUUAUUCGGAAUUACUGGGCUUAAAGGGUGCGUAGGCUGUGCGGAAAGUUGGGUGUGAAAUACCUCAGCUUAACUGAGGAACUGCGCUCAAAACUACCGUGCUCGAGGGAGACAGAGGUAAGCGGAACUUAGGGUGGAGCGGUGAAAUGCGUUGAUAUCCUAAGGAACACCGGUGGCGAAAGCGGCUUACUGGGUCUCUUCUGACGCUGAGGCACGAAAGCUAGGGUAGCGAACGGGAUUAGAUACCCCGGUAGUCCUAGCCGUAAACGAUGAGCACUUGAUUGAAGGGCCCUCCAUAGCCUUUCAGUCGCAGCGAAAGUGUUAAGUGCUCCGCCUGGGGAGUAUGGUCGCAAGGCUGAA